GAUGAACGCUGGCGGCGUGCUUAACACAUGCAAGUCGAACGAAGCUGUUGUUUGGAGACCUUCGGGUGGAAGAAUGACAGACUGAGUGGCGGACGGGUGAGUAACGCGUGGGUAACCUACCUUGCACAGGGGGACAACAGUUGGAAACGACUGCUAAUACCGCAUAAGACCACAGUACCGCAUGGUACAGGGGUAAAAACUGAGGUGGUGCAAGAUGGACCCGCGUCUGAUUAGCUAGUUGGUGGGGUAAAGGCCUACCAAGGCGACGAUCAGUAGCCGACCUGAGAGGGUGAUCGGCCACAUUGGGACUGAGACACGGCCCAAACUCCUACGGGAGGCAGCAGUGGGGAAUAUUGGACAAUGGGGGGAACCCUGAUCCAGCGACGCCGCGUGAGUGAAGAAGUAUUUCGGCAUGUAAAGCUCUAUCAGCAGGGAAGAAAAUGACGGUACCUGACUAAGAAGCCCCGGCUAACUACGUGCCAGCAGCCGCGGUAAUACGUAGGGGGCAAGCGUUAUCCGGAUUUACUGGGUGUAAAGGGAGCGCAGACGGCUUGGCAAGUCUGAAGUGAAAGCCCGGGGCUUAACCCCGGGACUGCUUUGGAAACUGUGAAGCUAGAGUGUCGGAGAGGUAAGUGGAAUUCCCAGUGUAGCGGUGAAAUGCGUAGAUAUUGGGAGGAACACCGGUGGCGAAGGCGGCUUACUGGACGAUAACUGACGUUGAGGCUCGAAGGCGUGGGGAGCAAACAGG
Molecule: ribosomal RNA, 748 nt
Filed under: uncultured Lachnospiraceae bacterium
Lineage: Bacteria; Bacillati; Bacillota; Clostridia; Lachnospirales; Lachnospiraceae
Description: bacterial SSU rRNA
Rfam family: Bacterial small subunit ribosomal RNA
Source: RNAcentral